Molecule: long non-coding RNA, 387 nt
Filed under: Brassica napus (rape)
Lineage: Eukaryota; Viridiplantae; Streptophyta; Magnoliopsida; Brassicales; Brassicaceae
Description: long non-coding RNA (BNAP_LNC019795)
Source: RNAcentral
AAUUUUGGGUUUCCUCGGAAUUUCCUCAGAAAUUCCUCGGGAAAUUCCGAGGAUUUCAUUUUCCGUCGGAAUGUCCCGUCAGAAUACCGUUGUUUUCUUGUAGUGUUCAUGGGAAAGUGUUUAAUAAUUAUAAGAAAAUAUAUGUAAAAAUGAUAUGUAUGUUUUUGGACUCGCCAAACUAUAUAUAUCACUUAAUGAAAUUACUAAGAUUAUGCUAAGAUAUUUUUCCAUUAAUAAACAAAAUCUUAACAAAUAAAACCAUGAUUUAUACGAUCACUAAUAUUAUGCAAAGAUAUUUUUUUUACAAAACUAAACAUCGACAUCAAAAUAACAGUUGAUAUAAGGAUCAAGCUUUACCAUUACAGAACUAAUAAAUAACAUCAUCAA